This 74-nucleotide small RNA is filed under the name Xanthomonas nasturtii. RNAcentral's name for it is "sX9 sRNA". It matches the Rfam family "Xanthomonas sRNA sX9". Lineage: Bacteria; Pseudomonadati; Pseudomonadota; Gammaproteobacteria; Lysobacterales; Lysobacteraceae. The record is from RNAcentral.
AUGCACCCUGUGUGCACUGCGGUUCCUGUGUGCCGUCCACGCCCGCCUGAUGAUUGCGCGCUACGUUGGUAGCC